GAGCGCUGCCGGGCGCGGGAGGGCCCGGAGCGUUCCGGUGAAGCAGCGUCCUCUCAUCCUUCCCUGCUCCCGGCGGGCGUGUCCCGAGCCGAGAGGAGCCCGUGUUCAGGACGCAGGGAGCGAGGAGGCUCAGGGGAGGAGCGCACCAGGGUGUCGCUGCCCCUCCGCUGUGUUGGAACAGAUGUUUAAACCUGCUCUAGACUGAAAACCCAGAAAAGCACCGGCAGUUCAUACCUGUGGCCACUGGGCCAGGUCUGGGCUGCAGCAUUUCCAACACUGGAGGGACUGCUAACAGACUCGAAUGAGGACUGAGAUGUCCAGAAGAGCUGAUGAGACAGACCCCUGACCCAGAAGUAGACCCAGCAGAAUGCAGGCCUCCAUUUGCUUUCACGUGGAGGGGAGUGCAGUAUACCUGGAACCAACUGCCCCAGGGGUGGAAGCACAGUCCUACCAUCUGCCAUGGACUGAUCCAGACUGCGCUAAAAAAAGGUGAGGCUCCAGAACAUCUGCAAUAUAUUGAUGACAUCAUUGUGUGGGGGAACACAACAGCAGAAGUUGUUUGAAAAAGGAGAGAAAAUAAUCCAGAUUCUCCUAAAAACCAGCUUCAUAAUCAAGAAGAGCAAAGUUAAAUGACCUUAAGAAAUCCAGUUCCUGGGAGUAAAGUGGCAAAAGAUGGAUGGCACCAGAUUCCAACUGAUGUCAUGAACAAUAUCACAGCAAUGUGUCCACCAACCAGCAAGAAGGAAACACAAGCUUUCCUAGGCGCCAUAGAUUUUUGGAGAAUGCAUAUUCCUGAGUAUAGUCAGAUCGUGAGCCCUCUCUACCUGGUCACCCACAAAAAGAACACUUUCCACUGGGGCCCUGAACAGCAACAAGCCUUUGCCCAGAUCAAGCAGGAGAUCACUCAUGCAAUAACCCUUAGCCCAGUCAGAACAGGACCAGUUAUGAAGAACGUGCUCUACUCUGCAGCUGGAAGCUAUGAAUUAAGACAAAGUUUCAGACGUGCUGCUAGGUUUCUGUGCUAUGAAGACACGUCACUAGUGUCAACUUAACUCAUAUUUACUUGAACUUCCUAUCCACCCCCCUGAUUUUACUCAUACUGUAUGACAGCAAAACAGCUGGUCUGUGAGCCUGAAAGGAAGAGGGGUUUGGCUACAGAAAGCAGAUGCCUGCCAAACCCUGACAUGAAUGUAAGCAGGUAGCUAUUGGCCAAGUGAGCUGGGUGGUAACCCUUCACAGCCAGUCAGGUUCAAACGCAGAGUCUUUUGAAUAGGGUAAUAGGAGCUGUGCACACCAUGGAAGCUCUCUCUGCUGCAUGAAACCACGAUGUUGUGUCAUCUCCCCAGCUCCCAUAACUGUGACAAUACUGUAAGCUCCUAAAG
Molecule: long non-coding RNA, 1382 nt
Organism: Onychostruthus taczanowskii (white-rumped snowfinch)
Lineage: Eukaryota; Metazoa; Chordata; Aves; Passeriformes; Passeridae
Exons: 4
Source: RefSeq, a predicted model, not a curated record